Long non-coding RNA from Schistocerca serialis cubense, 281 nucleotides. RefSeq lists it as uncharacterized. The transcript has 3 exons. NCBI's taxonomy places the organism in Eukaryota, Metazoa, Arthropoda, Insecta, Orthoptera, Acrididae. The record is from RefSeq and is a predicted model, not a curated record.
CAGCUUGCUGAAGAAUGACGACUGCAGAACACUAAGAUGAGUGUCAGGUAGAUUAUUACCCGCCCUGAUAAAAAGUUGCAAUCUGAUUCUGACGCCGGCUUCUCGUAAUCAAGCACAAUGCGUUGGAAUCCCUGCUUCGCAGUACCGUAGCUUGUCAUUGGGAGUGCCAAAACUAAAUGGCGCAGCCCAUUAAAAUGUGGAUUAAAAAGACGUCUUCAAUCCAAAGUUGGCAGCAGAAUAGGAAUCUUCCAUCUGAUGCCGACAGCAGUCACGUGGGAUCU